GGCACUAUGGCCGAGUGGUUAAGGCGAGAGACUCGAAUAAUCUCUUGGGCUCUGCCCGCGCUGGUUCAAAUCCUGCUGGUGUCG
This 84-nucleotide transfer RNA is filed under the name Torulaspora globosa. Its description in RNAcentral is "tRNA-Ser". It matches the Rfam family "tRNA". From Rfam's summary of the family: Transfer RNA (tRNA) molecules are approximately 80 nucleotides in length. Their secondary structure includes four short double-helical elements and three loops (D, anti-codon, and T loops). Further hydrogen bonds mediate the characteristic L-shaped molecular structure. tRNAs have two regions of fundamental functional importance: the anti-codon, which is responsible for specific mRNA codon recognition, and the 3' end, to which the tRNAs corresponding amino acid is attached (by aminoacyl-tRNA synthetases). tRNAs cope with the degeneracy of the genetic code in two manners: having more than one tRNA (with a specific anti-codon) for a particular amino acid; and 'wobble' base-pairing, i.e. permitting non-standard base-pairing at the 3rd anti-codon position. RNAcentral also lists the same sequence under 1 other name. Lineage: Eukaryota; Fungi; Ascomycota; Saccharomycetes; Saccharomycetales; Saccharomycetaceae. The record is from RNAcentral.